UUACUUACCUGGCAGGGGAGACACCAUGAUCAGACAAGUGGUUUUCCCAGGAUGAGGCUCAUCCCUUGCACUCCGGGUAUGCUGACCCCUGUGAUUUCCCCCAAUUGCAGGAAACCCAGCUGCAUAAUUUGUGGCAGUGGGGUUUAAAAUUUGUUUUUUAAUAUU
This 165-nucleotide small nuclear RNA is filed under the name Eurypyga helias (sunbittern). RNAcentral's name for it is "U1 spliceosomal RNA". It matches the Rfam family "U1 spliceosomal RNA". Rfam says of the family: U1 is a small nuclear RNA (snRNA) component of the spliceosome (involved in pre-mRNA splicing). Its 5' end forms complementary base pairs with the 5' splice junction, thus defining the 5' donor site of an intron. There are significant differences in sequence and secondary structure between metazoan and yeast U1 snRNAs, the latter being much longer (568 nucleotides as compared to 164 nucleotides in human). The record is from Rfam by way of RNAcentral. Lineage: Eukaryota; Metazoa; Chordata; Aves; Eurypygiformes; Eurypygidae.